Molecule: ribosomal RNA, 439 nt
Filed under: uncultured bacterium
Lineage: Bacteria
Description: partial 16S ribosomal RNA
Rfam family: Bacterial small subunit ribosomal RNA
Source: RNAcentral
CCUACGGGAGGCAGCAGUGGGGGAUAUUGCACAAUGGAGGAAACUCUGAUGCAGCGACGCCGCGUGAGGGAAGACGGUCUUCGGAUUUUAAACCUCUGUCUUUGGGGAAGAAAAUGACGGUACCCACAGAGGAAGCUCCGGCUAACUACGUGCCAGCAGCCGCGGUAAUACGGAGGGAGCGAGCGUUGUCCGGAAUUACUGGGUGUAAAGGGAGCGUAGGCGGGCGAGAAAGUUGAAUGUUAAAUCUACCGGCUUAACUGGUAGCUGCGUUCGAAACUUGUUGUCUUGAGUGUAGUAGAGGCAGGCGGAAUUCCUAGUGUAGCGGUGAAAUGCGUAGAUAUUAGGAGGAACACCAGUGGCGAAGGCGGCCUGCUGGGCUUUAACUGACGCUGAGGCUCGAAAGCGUGGGGAGCAAACAGGAUUAGAUACCCCGGUAGUC